CGCGUAGGUGGUUUUGUAUGUCUACCGUGAAAGCGUACGGCUCAACCGUAUUUUGUCGGUAGAAACUGCAGGACUUGAGGCUGGGAGGGGCUGGUGGAAUUCCCUGUGUAGCGGUGAAAUGCGUAGAGAGUGGGGAGAACACUCGUGGCGAAGGCGGCCAGCUAGACCAGUUCUGACACUGAGGCGCGACAGCGUGGGAGCAAACA
RNAcentral lists this ribosomal RNA (206 nucleotides) under uncultured bacterium. RNAcentral's name for it is "partial 16S ribosomal RNA". It matches the Rfam family "Bacterial small subunit ribosomal RNA", at positions 568 to 774 of the family's 1533-position model. The record is from RNAcentral.